RNAcentral lists this ribosomal RNA (789 nucleotides) under uncultured microorganism. Its description in RNAcentral is "bacterial SSU rRNA". It matches the Rfam family "Bacterial small subunit ribosomal RNA", at positions 386 to 1164 of the family's 1533-position model. The record is from RNAcentral.
ACGAUGCGACGCCGCGUGGGGGAUGAAGGUCUUCGGAUUGUAAACCUCUGUGUUAUGGGAAGAAUUGCUAGUGGGUGAUAAGCCUGCUAGCGUGACGGUACCAUAGUAGAAAGCCCCAGCUAACUACGUGCCAGCAGCUGCGGUAAUACGUGGGGGGCAAGCGUUGUCCGGAUUUACUGGGCGUAAAGCGUGUGUAGGCGGCUAUAUAAGUCGGGUGUGAAAUGGCUUGGCUCAACCAAGCAACUGCGCUCGAUACUGUAUGGCUUGAGUACGGAAGAGGAAAGUGGAAUGUAAGGUGUAGCGGUGAAAUGCGUAGAUAUCUUAUAGAACACCUAUGGCGAAGGCAGCUUUCUGGUCCGAUACUGACGCUGAGUAUACGAAAGCUUGGGGAGCGAACGGGAUUAGAUACCCCGGUAGUCCAAGCUGUAAACGAUGGGUACUAAGUGUAGGGGGUAUUGAUUCCUCCUGUGCUGUAGCUAACGCAUUAAGUACCCCGCCUGGGGAGUACGGCCACAAGGUUAAAACUCAAGGUAAUUGACGGGGGGCCGCACAAGCGGUGGAGCAUGUCGCUUAAUUCGAAGCAACGCGAAGAACCUUAUCCAGGGCUUGACAUCGCGCUGACCGCCAUAGAAAUAUGGCUUUCCUUUUGGACAGCGUGACAGGUGCUGCAUGGCUGUCGUCAGCUCGUGUCGUGAGAUGUUGGGUUAAGUCCCGCAACGAGCGCAACCCCUGUCGCUAGUUACCAUCAGGUAAUGCUGGGGACUCUAGUGAGACCGCUGGUGACGAGCC